Molecule: long non-coding RNA, 634 nt
Filed under: Astyanax mexicanus (Mexican tetra)
Lineage: Eukaryota; Metazoa; Chordata; Actinopteri; Characiformes; Acestrorhamphidae
Description: lncRNA (ENSAMXG00005007185.1)
Source: RNAcentral
CCUGCAGAAAGUGUUGAGAUUAGUAAAGCUCUGGUUUGUGUUUUACAGAUUCCAGCAGUUAAACUACAGCUGGCCUCAAGUCUUCCAGCAAACGAUUAUGUCUGCAACGCCUUCCGCAAUUCCUUUUAUUACCAGGUGCUACAAGAGUGUCUAAGUGAGCUGUUCGAUGCCAGACUGGCCCCUGAUUGGCUGGAAGGGAAGACACAAAGUGGAGCGGGCAGCAGCUCUGCUUUUAAUGGCCUCCUGCUGGAGAGGGUUCAGAAACCCAGCCAAGGGAUCCUGUCUGAGGACGUGAGUGCAGUUUAUUUAAUGAGACCUGUGGCUCGAUGUCCUGCUAGUUGUUGGCCGGUGAUUUGAGGGGCUUUAGGAUGAGCUAGGAACAUAGACUAUAUAUAUAAGUAUGAACAGCAUGAUAGGAGCUGUAAAGUAAUGCCACUACGUCUCUUACGCCCUCUGGUGGCUGGCUCCAGUAUGACUUUUAACCCCGCCUAUUUCCAUUUAACUGAAUGAGAGAUGGAGAAAUCUUUAAUCUAAAAUUACACAUCCCGGAUUUUAUUUUUGGGAAGUUGGGUUUUGUACGUUCUGUAAGCCCCCCUCCUGUGUUAAUAAAUAACCCCCAGUGUUUUUCUGUACA